AACGAACGCUGGCGGCAUGCCUAACACAUGCAAGUCGAACGAGACCUUCGGGUCUAGUGGCGCACGGGUGCGUAACGCGUGGGAACCUGCCUUUAGGUUCGGAAUAACUCAGAGAAAUUUGAGCUAAUACCGGAUAAUGUCUUCGGACCAAAGAUUUAUCGCCUUUAGAUGGGCCCGCGUUGGAUUAGCUAGUUGGUGGGGUAAAGGCCUACCAAGGCGACGAUCCAUAGCUGGUCUGAGAGGAUGAUCAGCCACACUGGGACUGAGACACGGCCCAGACUCCUACGGAGGCAGCAGUGGGGAAUAUUGGACAAUGGGCGAAAGCCUGAUCCAGCAAAUGCCGCGGUGAGUGAUG
RNAcentral lists this ribosomal RNA (355 nucleotides) under uncultured bacterium. Its description in RNAcentral is "bacterial SSU rRNA". It matches the Rfam family "Bacterial small subunit ribosomal RNA", at positions 29 to 410 of the family's 1533-position model. The record is from RNAcentral.